This 166-nucleotide ribosomal RNA is filed under the name Vibrio parahaemolyticus. RNAcentral describes it as "partial 16S ribosomal RNA". It matches the Rfam family "Bacterial small subunit ribosomal RNA", at positions 1370 to 1533 of the family's 1533-position model. Lineage: Bacteria; Pseudomonadati; Pseudomonadota; Gammaproteobacteria; Vibrionales; Vibrionaceae. The record is from RNAcentral.
GUUCCCGGGCCUUGUACACACCGCCCGUCACACCAUGGGAGUGGGUUGCAAAAGAAGUAGGUAGCUUAACCUUCGGGAGGGCGCUUACCACUUUGUGAUUCAUGACUGGGGUGAAGUCGUAACAAGGUAACCGUAGGGGAACCUGCGGUUGGAUCACCUCCUUACC